RNAcentral lists this ribosomal RNA (403 nucleotides) under Fusobacteriota bacterium. RNAcentral's name for it is "Fusobacteria bacterium partial 16S ribosomal RNA". It matches the Rfam family "Bacterial small subunit ribosomal RNA", at positions 355 to 776 of the family's 1533-position model. The record is from RNAcentral. Lineage: Bacteria; Fusobacteriati; Fusobacteriota.
UGGGGAAUAUUGCACAAUGGAGGGAACUCUGAUGCAGCGACGCCGCGUGAACGAAGAAGGCUUUCGAGUCGUAAAGUUCUUUUAUAUGGGAAGAUAAUGACGGUACCAUAAGAAAAAGCCCCGGCUAACUACGUGCCAGCAGCCGCGGUAAUACGUAGGGGGCUAGCGUUGUCCGGAAUCACUGGGCGUAAAGGGUUCGCAGGCGGAAAUGCAAGUCAGGUGUAAAAGGCAGUAGCUUAACUACUGUAAGCAUUUGAAACUGCAUAUCUUGAGAAGAGUAGAGGUAAGUGGAAUUUUUAGUGUAGCGGUGAAAUGCGUAGAUAUAUGGAGGAACACCAAUGGCGAAGGCAACUUUCUGGAAUCAAACUGACGCUGAGGUACGAAGGCGUGGGGAGCAAACAGG